Molecule: ribosomal RNA, 113 nt
Filed under: Acanthosepion pharaonis
Lineage: Eukaryota; Metazoa; Mollusca; Cephalopoda; Sepiida; Sepiidae
Source: RNAcentral
CACGGCCAUAUCACGUUGGAACACCGGUUCUCGUACGAUCAUCGAAGUUAAGAAAUGUCGAGCCUGCUCAGUACCUAGAUGGGUGACCGGUUGGAAAUACUAGGUGCUGUAAG